This 301-nucleotide ribosomal RNA is filed under the name uncultured bacterium. RNAcentral describes it as "partial 16S ribosomal RNA". It matches the Rfam family "Bacterial small subunit ribosomal RNA", at positions 509 to 807 of the family's 1533-position model. The record is from RNAcentral.
CAGUAGCCGCGGUAAUACGUAGGGUGCGAGCGUUAAUCGGAAUUACUGGGCGUAAAGCGUGCGCAGGCGGUUCGUUAAGACAGAUGUGAAAUCCCCGGGCUUAACCUGGGAACUGCAUUUGUGACUGGCGAGCUAGAGUAUGGCAGAGGGGGGUAGAAUUCCACGUAUAGCAGUGAAAUGCGUAGAGAUGUGGAGGAAUACCGAUGGCGAAGGCAGCCCCCUGGGCCAAUACUGACGCUCAUGCACGAAAGCGUGGGGAGCAAACAGGAUUAGAUACCCCCGUAGUCCCUGUCUCUUAUAC